This is an unclassified non-coding RNA of Callithrix jacchus (white-tufted-ear marmoset), 300 nucleotides long. It matches the Rfam family "Metazoan signal recognition particle RNA". Rfam says of the family: The signal recognition particle (SRP) is a universally conserved ribonucleoprotein. NCBI's taxonomy places the organism in Eukaryota, Metazoa, Chordata, Mammalia, Primates, Cebidae. The record is from Ensembl.
GCCAGGCCCAGUGCCGCGCGCCUGGAGUCCCAGCUACUCGGGAGGCUGAGGUGGGAGGAUCGCUUGAGCCCAGGAGUUCUGGGCUGGAUUGCACUAUGCCGAUCGGGCGUCUACACUAAGUUCGGCAUCAAUAUGGUGACCUCCUGGGAGAGGGGGACGACGAGGUUGCCUAAGGAGUGGUGAACCGGCCCAAGUCGGAAACCGAGCAGGUCAAAACUCUUGUGCUGAUCAGUAGUGGGAUCAUGCCUGUGAAUAGCCACUGCACUCCAGCCUGGGCAACAUAGUGAGACCCCGUCUCUU